This 434-nucleotide ribosomal RNA is filed under the name uncultured Ruminococcus sp. RNAcentral describes it as "partial 16S ribosomal RNA". It matches the Rfam family "Bacterial small subunit ribosomal RNA", at positions 341 to 792 of the family's 1533-position model. Lineage: Bacteria; Bacillati; Bacillota; Clostridia; Eubacteriales; Oscillospiraceae. The record is from RNAcentral.
ACGGAAGGCAGCAGUGGGGAAUAUUGCACAAUGGGCGCAAGCCUGAUGCAGCGAUGCCGCGUGAGGGAAGAAGGUUUUCUGAUUGUAAACCUCUGUCAACAGGGACGAAAAUGAAGGCACCUGUGAAGGAAGCUCCGGCUAACUACGUGCCAGCAGCCGCGGUAAUACGUAGGGAGAAAGCGUUAUCCGGAAUUACUGGGUGUAAAGGGAGUGUAGGCGGGACUGUAAGUCAGAUGUGAAAUAUGCCGGCUCAACUGGCAGACUGCAUUUGAAACUGCGGUUCUUGAGUGAAGUAGAGGUAAGCGGAAUUCCUAGUGUAGCGGUGAAAUGCGUAGAUAUUAGGAGGAACAUCAGUGGCGAAGGCGGCUUACUGGGCUUUAACUGACGCUGAGGCUCGAAAGCGUGGGGAGCAAACAGGAUUAGAUACCCUGGUA